AGCUUGCAUCAGGCACACUGGAUCGGAUUUAUGUCAUGGACCCCCACAGGGUAUUAAUCAUUCUUUGAGGUCAUUUUCAGUUAUGAAAAGAAAUCACCAAGGAUUGGAAGUUGGCUGAUAGAACUGACAUCAGAAAGACCAUUCAAAACCAAGAGCCAGUGUCAAGAUCCUGGAUACCCUUCCUGCCAUGACUCCCAAAGUAGCCUUUUCAUGGAUCCAGUCUAGCUUGUUGGAUAAAAAGGAAUGAACAAGAGCUCACCAGCCAUCAGAAAACUGCAGCUAACCCUAGACAUAGGAAGACAGGCCUGCAGGCCAUAUCAUGAUGAAAUCCAUGGAGUUGCUAGUGGAGUCAUC
Symphalangus syndactylus (siamang) is the source of this 354-nucleotide long non-coding RNA. RefSeq lists it as uncharacterized. The record is from RefSeq and is a predicted model, not a curated record. NCBI's taxonomy places the organism in Eukaryota, Metazoa, Chordata, Mammalia, Primates, Hylobatidae.